Colias croceus (clouded yellow) is the source of this 285-nucleotide long non-coding RNA. RefSeq lists it as uncharacterized. The record is from RefSeq and is a predicted model, not a curated record. The transcript is spliced from 2 exons. Lineage: Eukaryota; Metazoa; Arthropoda; Insecta; Lepidoptera; Pieridae.
CACACAUUCAUUUGAUUCGGAGCCGUUGCAGCAUCUCUAUUUCAACAUGUUUGGGCUGAGUAUAUUUGUGUAUUUCCUAAUGUGGUUGACACAGAAAUUAAACGAAUUACCUAGUCCUCCGCCACCGGAACAAGAACCAACCUAUGCUCCCGAUCGUCACUUGCCACCAGUACAAAAACCUAUUUUGCCAGGAUAAAAAGAACAAUAAUUAUUGGGAAGAAAAUGUAACUACCUACUUAAACUUACACUUUCUGGCUAAAUAAAUAAAUCGUUAUAACAAAUUAA